AGAGUUUGAUCAUGGCUCAGGACGAACGCUGGCGGCGUGCUUAACACAUGCAAGUCGAACGGAAAGGCCCUUCGGGGUACUCGAGUGGGGAACGGGUGAGUAACACGUGGGUGAUCUGCCCUGCACUUUGGGAUAAGCCUGGGAAACUGGGUCUAAUACCGAAUAGGACCGCAUGCUUCAUGGUGUGUGGUGGAAAGCUUUUGCGGUGUGGGAUGGGCCCGCGGCCUAUCAGCUUGUUGGUGGGGUAAUGGCCUACCAAGGCGACGACGGGUAGCCGGCCUGAGAGGGUGUCCGGCCACACUGGGACUGAGAUACGGCCCAGACCCCUACGGGAGGCAGCAGUGGGGAAUAUUGCACAAUGGGCGCAAGCCUGAUGCAGCGACGCCGCGUGGGGGAUGACGGCCUUCGGGUUGUAAACCUCUUUCAGUAUCGGCGAAGCUCCAGGAUUUUUCUUGGGGUGACGGUAGGUACAGAAGAAGCACCGGCCAACUACGUGCCAGCAGCCGCGGUAAUACGUAGGGUGCGAGCGUUGUCCGGAAUUACUGGGCGUAAAGAGCUCGUAGGUGGUUUGUCACGUUGUCCGUGAAAACUCACAGCUUAACUGUGGGCGUGCGGGCGAUACGGGCAGACUGGAGUACUGUAGGGGAGACUGGAAUUCCUGGUGUAGCGGUGGAAUGCGCAGAUAUCAGGAGGAACACCGGUGGCGAAGGCGGGUCUCUGGGCAGUAACUGACGCUGAGGAGCGAAAGCGUGGGGAGCGAACAGGAUUAGAUACCCCGGUAGUCCAA
RNAcentral lists this ribosomal RNA (787 nucleotides) under uncultured bacterium. RNAcentral describes it as "bacterial SSU rRNA". It matches the Rfam family "Bacterial small subunit ribosomal RNA", at positions 8 to 798 of the family's 1533-position model. The record is from RNAcentral.